This 727-nucleotide ribosomal RNA is filed under the name uncultured bacterium. RNAcentral describes it as "bacterial SSU rRNA". It matches the Rfam family "Bacterial small subunit ribosomal RNA", at positions 75 to 775 of the family's 1533-position model. The record is from RNAcentral.
GAAGCUUGCUUCCUAUGAAAUCGAGUGGCAAACGGGUGAGUAACGCGUAAACAACCUGCCCUUCGGAUGGGGAUAACAGCCGGAAACGGCUGCUAAUACCGAAUACGAUCUUUUCGUCGCAUGACGGAAAGAAGAAAGGAUGGCCUCUAUACAAAGCUAUCGCCGAAGGAGGGGUUUGCGUCUGAUUAGCUGGUUGGAGGGGUAACGGCCCAACAAGGCGAUGAUCAGUAGCCGGUCUGAGAGGAUGAACGGCCACAUUGGGACUGAGACACGGCCCAGACUCCUACGGGAGGCAGCAGUGGGGAAUCUUCCGCAAUGGACGAAAGUCUGACGGAGCAACGCCGCGUGAGUGAAGAAGGUCUUCGGAUUGUAAAGCUCUGUUAUACGGGACGAAAAAGACGGAUGCCAACAGUAUCCGUCCGUGACGGUACCGUAAGAGAAAGCCACGGCUAACUACGUGCCAGCAGCCGCGGUAAUACGUAGGUGGCAAGCGUUGUCCGGAAUUAUUGGGCGUAAAGGGCGCGCAGGCGGUUCGGUAAGUCUGUCUUAAAAGUGCGGGGCUUAACCCCGUGAGGGGACGGAAACUGUCGAACUUGAGUGUCGGAGAGGAAAGCGGAAUUCCUAGUGUAGCGGUGAAAUGCGUAGAUAUUAGGAGGAACACCGGUGGCGAAAGCGGCUUUCUGGACGACAACUGACGCUGAAGCGCGAAAGCGUGGGGAGCAAACAG